RNAcentral lists this ribosomal RNA (434 nucleotides) under uncultured bacterium. Its description in RNAcentral is "bacterial SSU rRNA". It matches the Rfam family "Bacterial small subunit ribosomal RNA", at positions 355 to 787 of the family's 1533-position model. The record is from RNAcentral.
GGAUGAAUAUUGGUCAAUGGGCGGGAGCCUGAACCAGCCAAGCCGCGUGAGGGAAGAAGGCCCUAUGGGUCGUAAACCUCUUUUGUCAGGGAACAAAAGCGAGUAUGUAUACUAGUCUGAGUGUACCUGAAGAAAAAGCAUCGGCUAACUCCGUGCCAGCAGCCGCGGUAAUACGGAGGAUGUGAGCGUUAUCCGGAUUUAUUGGGUUUAAAGGGUGCGUAGGCGGCGAUGCAAGUCAGCGGUAAAAGCCCGGGGCUCAACCCCGGCGAGCCGUUGAAACUGCAGUGCUAGAGAAGGCGAGAGGUACGCGGAAUGCGCAGUGUAGCGGUGAAAUGCUUAGAUAUUGCGCAGAACUCCGAUUGCGAAGGCAGCGUACUGGCGCCUGACUGACGCUGAGGCACGAAAGCGUGGGGGUCGAACAGGAUUAGAUACCC